Long non-coding RNA from Acinonyx jubatus (cheetah), 1293 nucleotides. RefSeq lists it as uncharacterized. The transcript has 2 exons. Lineage: Eukaryota; Metazoa; Chordata; Mammalia; Carnivora; Felidae. The record is from RefSeq and is a predicted model, not a curated record.
UGGAGCCAGUGGCUGCAUACGGUCUUUGAGCGCGACAGAAAUCUCGAGGCAUUUAACUUUUUCAUUUUUUCCUUCUUCGAUGGCGUUCAAAGUUCAGAAGUCGUUGGCUCGUUGCAGAACCGGAAACAACAUGAAACCGCACGGAACCAAUAUUCAUCUCAGCACACCCCGCCUCCAACGGGCCUCCGCCUAAUAAUCCACUACUCCGAGGCAUCCCUGCACUCGCUGCACUCACGCACAUGUAUGCAUGCAGACGUGCACGGACACCGAAGGUUUUCUGGGCUUGGUUUAGACGUUUGUGGCCAACAUUUCGAAAACCACACUCUACACGUUGUUCUGCAACUUGCCUUGUUCACUUGACAACGUCACCGACAUCCCUCGGUAUGACUUCGUGAUUGCGGCCCAACCGACCGAUUCAGUGGGGGUUACCAAACGACAGCCAGCCAGCCAGCCAGCCAGCCACCUGUCUUUGCAAAAACAAAAAGUUUUAUUCCAGCACAGCCACACCCAUUCGUUUCCCCUACUGUCGACGGCUGCUCUUGUCCCGCAACCCAAAAAUAAGAAAUCUUUGAGAAUUUCUCUCAGUCCCGGAUGCAGUUAAAUCAGUUGUGCUGAUAAUGCAGAUAGCACGAAGUCUACUCCCCCACCCUCACCGAAAAUCAUUAGAGAGAACCAGAAGCCCUGAGGCAAACAGGUGCAGCAAAAGGAGGCUUCUCCCAGCAGUUUCCAGGGAGAUUUUCCAGAGAUCCAGGAAGAACUGUGAGGAAGUCUCACUACCAACGGCCACCCAGCAGUGGGGCAGCUCGGGAUUUUCCUUGGCAACCUUGAUGUCAUCUGUAUCUUAGAAGGGGCUCUGUCCAUCCAGCGUGGCGGCAGAGGGCUGGUAGGCUGGGACAAUGGCCAAGCGUGGCAUCCCAUGCGUAUGUCUAGAGAGGACUAGUGUUCUUGAUAUUGACAUUUGUAGGUCCUGUUCAAGGGGCUCUGGGCUGAUGACCCCCACAAUGGCGUAUCUGACUGAGGCCCUGUCCCCGCAAUCUACCAGGAAUACAUGUUGUUGGCUCCUUGCAGAGGCACACACAACUUAGGAGUAUCCUAAAUGCAAGCUGACUGCCCUGCUAGAAAGAAGGUGAAGGAGCUUAGAACAUACCUCUUUACCUUCUAGUUUAUUAAGAGGUUUGAAGUUUCCCAGGCGGGAGCUAACACCACAAGAAGAAGAAUCUUCCAGAUUGGCCACGGUAUACAGUACAGUUAGAUCUGCUGUACAACCAAAUAUAUGCCAUGGUGAGACUCUCA